UGUUCGACAAGCAUCGCUUGAUGAUUGGUCAAAGCAGGGCUUCCGUAGAUCUGAGGAAUCAACUCUCUAUAUUCAAAGAUGGUUCAUCUCUGUCAUUCGAUUCUUGAUGCGUGUCCUUAGUGAACAGUGAUCCUCUCAGUCUCAUCCUCGGAUUAAGUACUCUCUUCGACUGACCUAUUUGUAGCUCGAUCUUGAGAGUAUGGGGCAUCUGUUGUAGAUCUGCACCUUAGCCUCGGCCUAAACAAUCUCAUCACCAUCGAGCAAGUUAUAGCUAAGCUAUAGGAGAUGGCAUUUACUGGAUUAGAUAGACAAGGUGAUCGCCUAGUAUAAUUUAUUGG
Molecule: long non-coding RNA, 338 nt
Filed under: Elaeis guineensis (African oil palm)
Lineage: Eukaryota; Viridiplantae; Streptophyta; Magnoliopsida; Arecales; Arecaceae
Description: long non-coding RNA (EGUI_LNC000438)
Source: RNAcentral